UUGUGGAUUAAUGCGUAUUGGAGACGCGAACCGUUUAAAACGAUUCAGUUCGAUUUGGUGAACUGGUUCAAAAAGAUCCGGUUACAUCGAAUGAUUCGUUCGCGAACCGGAUAUCACAAACUGCUUUGUUUUGAACUCUCUCUCUCACAACAGACACGGAAAAGAAGACAAUGCUGAAUAAAGUCGUAGUUUUUGCUAUUUUUGGACCAAAAUGUAUUUUCGAUGCUUCAAAAAAUUCUAACUGACCCUCUGAUGUCACAUGGACUACUUUGAUGAUGUUUUUCUUACCUUUCUGGACACACAGAGAGCUCUUUGACUAAAUCUAAGAUAUCUUAAACUUUGUUCCAAAGAUAAACGAAGGUCUUACGGGUUUGGAACAACAUGAGGGCAACCCUCACAGGGAAAGGAAAAAAAGGCGAGCUGAAGGAGCAGCUUGAGCCAGAAAAAACCAACGCAAUUUUAGAUGCAGUGAGGGAGCGAUUCCCCAACACCGAGGUGGCAGAGAUCCGGGCCCUUCUACGGAGGAAGUGCAACAGUGAGAGUUAAAAGGCCUCUAGUAACUCAAGUCAGAGCUACAGGUGCUGGUCAUAUAAUUAGAAUAUC
Megalobrama amblycephala (Wuchang bream) is the source of this 603-nucleotide long non-coding RNA. RefSeq lists it as uncharacterized. The record is from RefSeq and is a predicted model, not a curated record. NCBI's taxonomy places the organism in Eukaryota, Metazoa, Chordata, Actinopteri, Cypriniformes, Xenocyprididae. The transcript has 3 exons.